Oreochromis niloticus (Nile tilapia) is the source of this 3298-nucleotide long non-coding RNA. RefSeq lists it as uncharacterized. The record is from RefSeq and is a predicted model, not a curated record. NCBI's taxonomy places the organism in Eukaryota, Metazoa, Chordata, Actinopteri, Cichliformes, Cichlidae. The transcript has 3 exons.
CAGACUAAGUCUGUUUUAUGAUUUUUUUGUCCUAUUAUUUUAAUUUAUUUAAUAAAAUAUUGGUAUUUGGUGUCUCUGUAACAUGGAAACGUGGACUGUUAUCUAAUUAGCUUUGCCCUAUAGUGGGAAGUGGACAGUACAGAAUAAAUGCAUGCAGCAAAAUCUAUAAAAAAUAAUGCAGAUAGGUAGCUAUAGAUAGAUAUGUUUACAUAUCAGAUUUAUAUAUUCAUUUUGUCUGAAUUUUUCCUUCAAGUUUUAGAAAGCCAGACAAUGACUGUGCGACGGACUGUGCAGGGUGUACACCACCUUCUACCCUAUGACAGCUGGGAUAGGCUCCAGCACGCCGUGACCCUGGGGAUGUUUGAACGGAUGAACAAGCACACAAUAAAACCUAAAAAUGGAUUUUUAGGUCUAACAAAAUGAUACAUAGAUAAUUUCAGUAGACUCACCCUCUACCCCAUCCACAGGUUAAUGUUUGUUAGCCUAUCAUACAGCGGUCAGGUUAUUUGUACAGCACAAAAAGGACCGAGCCAUGAAUUGUUGGCUCGGACAAUUUUUCCCUUUCUGGCACUCAAAGCAGCAACAGGAGACGUGGAAGGAAGCGAGAUGAGACGGCAUAUGGCGACCAUCAUGAGCCAAACCCCGACUGACAGUGUUGCCGAAACAUGCUGCACACCUACAAUAAUCUGCCGAGCCACAAACUGAUCACUGCUGCCUCUCCGACGUCAAACUACAAACACACAACCCGUCUCCUAAAAGUCCAACAGAUUAACGUAAGAGAAGCACCAUCAGUGGAAAUUUUAACACAUGGAAAAAACAAAGGAUGGAUGGAUUCAGGGGCUAAAAAUACAGCCUGCAGCAGGUGACGUUCAUUUUUUUUUAUGGAUCUAAAUUACCAUAAAAUCCAUGUGGCGGGAGAGGAGAUGAAAGUGAGCCGAUGACAGGAGUAAACAGAGUGUAGAGAGUAGCGCGGGAUGACAAAGGGGAGAUUAACGGAUGAACUUUGAUAAGAUGAAGUGGGGGAAAGGAGCUUUAAGCAGCAGAGUGGGAGGGAAGUUUGGUGCUGUAGUGCUGACAGUUUGAGGCACAUCUCUCUCUCUCUCUCUUUUUUUUGUCUUUUACAUUAAACCUGCCCUGCAGCUUUAACCAUCCACAUUUUUUUAAAGUAACCUGGGAAUAAGCACAUUAGGGCAGCUUGGAUAUAAAGCAAGUGUGUGUUUAAACAGGGAUGAUCCGAACUCUGAAACAGGAGCCGGUUAAUAUUCCACCACUGUUAACAGCGAUUAUUUGCAAGGUGAAAAGGAGAAAUGUGGUCCGGGGGGAGCUCAGGCAUGUAUAAAAAGCUGCAUGGAGACAUCUGUCUGUGUGUAAACCAGGGAAGUGCUGUGACACACAAAGAGGCAAGGGCAGUACCUCCACACGUCGCUGCUCUUGGAGAAGAGGGAGUGCUUGAUGACCUCCGGGGCCAUCCAGGCGUAGGUCCCUGCUGCACUCAUCUUGGUGGUCUGGUGCCACUCUCUGGCCAGACCAAAGUCUGUGAUCUUCAGGGUUUUGCCAUUCAGGUCAUCCCGCUCCACCGGCUGCAGAAUGAGGACUGAGGAUGAGGAGGAAAGAAAGCAGAAGAGAAGAGCUUUUGUUAUAAAAGACCAGGUGUAGCCUGCAUUUGAUAACAGCUGCUUCUGUGUCGCCUCGUCAGCACCCCGAUGCACAUCUCCAACCACCUUCAUCUACCUCCUCAUCCUCCUGCAAGUCCAGAGCUUCUUGUUGUCACUCCGGUAACACCUGAGCACCCUCCCCGCCGCCUGCCUCAGCACAUCAGCAUGACAAAAAAAAUUAAAAAUAAAUAUUACACCAACACAGCAGCAGGCUGAUGUGCAUCAACGCAGACGAAGUACGUGCCCAUGGGAUUACUGAGCAGCCACUUCCCCGCCCCCGCCUGCAGACCCACCCUGUUUCAUCUUCAUUGCUACAAGAUCAAAACCUCACCAACGAAGAAGUGACCGCCCCCUCGUCUUCAUCUUCACAUCAGCUCUUUUCCCCACAGCUCCGGCCCUCUUCCCUCCCCUACUGCUGGUGCCUACUGCUCCACUCUCUGCUUUUGCAGCUGUCGCCAGCCUGACUACCAUCACAGCACGCCGGGGAGAAGAAAUGGAAGAAGAGGUUGGAGAGGGAGUCAAAAACAGAGAGAAAUAGACUGUGUGCGUGCAGAGUAAUGGGUGGAGGGGGCGUAAGACGAUAAGGAAGCAAAGGGGAGGGGGGGGUUAAGAUGAGGAAUGGGGCGGGGGGUAGGGUGGAACAAAGCUGCAGAAAUGAGGGCAAAGGAGGAGAGCGAAGGAGAGAUGGAGGGGAGGAAAGGCACACACACUAUGAGAGAGAGGGAAAUGAGUGGAUGAAAAGAUGAGGGCUACUAAAGGUAAAGAGAGAUGACUGGAGGGAAUGCUUUUGUCAUUAUCCUGGCAGCACAUACCACAUGUCUUUGUAUCUCGAUAGGUCUUUCCCUUUUUUUAAGUUUCUUUUUGGCUUCUCACAUCUCUCACCUCUCAAGAGAUUUGAACCAUAAGACGAUGCACAUCUUUCCGAGCAUGCCCCACAAUAUAUAUGUAAAUUAAACCUCAGAAUAGUUUUUUUUUUUUUUUUUUAAAUAAAGAGAUAAAGCUUCAUGAGACAGUGUGGAAAUGAAGUCUAACUAAAAACUGUUGCAACAGCACAGCAGAUGCGCAUCGAAUCCCUGGAUCUGUUUCCAUUCCCCAGUGCUUUGAUACGGAGGUUGUAGUGAGUAUGCUCCCAUGUCAUCGAUACCCCAGCUUGGCUCCGCUUGUACCACCACAGGCCAUCGAGGCUCCAAUCCUGAGCCGCACAGUGGCACAGUUUCACCCUGCAGCUAUUCACUUUGUCUGCACACAAACGCAGCUGCCAGAUUCGUGUGACCAGGCAGCCUCUCUCUUAGAAGAGAUGGAGGUAUUAAAUGAGGUGGCUUUUUGUGCAUGGAGCCUAUGUAUGUGUGUGUUUGCAUCUUUGAAUGUGUAUGGUAUGAAAAUGGGCGUACUUACAGCACGGGAAUACUCACUGAGAGAUUUGAGCUUUUCUAACUCAUGACUAGUUUUAGCUUUCACAGUUGUUUAGUUAAAAGGCAACAUUUUACUGACAUUAGAUGCAAACAAUUAGCAUUUCUUUCCCCUAACACAGUUAUUACAAACAAGUCAUAGCCAUUCUGCAGUGACAAAGAAUUAACUGGACCUGAAAAGGUUUGAUAGCAGUUAACUUAAAGUAAUAGAUAAGCAGAAAAUAAGAGCCAAAA